RNAcentral lists this ribosomal RNA (490 nucleotides) under uncultured bacterium. RNAcentral describes it as "partial 16S ribosomal RNA". It matches the Rfam family "Bacterial small subunit ribosomal RNA", at positions 30 to 507 of the family's 1533-position model. The record is from RNAcentral.
AUUGAACGCUGGCGGCAUGCCUUACACAUGCAAGUCGAACGGCAGCAUGAUCUAGCUUGCUAGAUUGAUGGCGAGUGGCGAACGGGUGAGUAAUACAUCGGAACGUGCCCUGUAGUGGGGGAUAACUAGUCGAAAGAUUAGCUAAUACCGCAUACGACCUGAGGGUGAAAGUGGGGGACCGCAAGGCCUCAUGCUAUAGGAGCGGCCGAUGUCUGAUUAGCUAGUUGGUGGGGUAAAGGCCCACCAAGGCGACGAUCAGUAGCUGGUCUGAGAGGACGAUCAGCCACACUGGGACUGAGACACGGCCCAGACUCCUACGGGAGGCAGCAGUGGGGAAUUUUGGACAAUGGGGGCAACCCUGAUCCAGCAAUGCCGCGUGUGUGAAGAAGGCCUUCGGGUUGUAAAGCACUUUUGUCCGGAAAGAAAUCGCACUUACUAAUAUUAGGUGUGGAUGACGGUACCGGAAGAAUAAGAACCGGCUAACUACGUG